Mytilus californianus (California mussel) is the source of this 1143-nucleotide long non-coding RNA. RefSeq lists it as uncharacterized. The record is from RefSeq and is a predicted model, not a curated record. The transcript has 4 exons. Lineage: Eukaryota; Metazoa; Mollusca; Bivalvia; Mytilida; Mytilidae.
UUCUUGUAUCUAUGCUCCUUUACCACUUACCUUGUAGGCUUGUGUUAGAAACCUCACAGAGAUUAAUCUUAAAACAUGAAGACACUAGUUUUACUAUGUGUUGUUAUGUUAGAACUUGCUGUUAAUGUCAUGGAAUCACGUGAUUAUUCUUGCUCUGCAAGGCAGAGAAUGGGAUGUAGUCUUUAUUGCAGUCGGUAACCAUGCACAUUUUUCACGUGUAGUAAGAAAGAUUCUGAUAUUACAUGUUUUUGCCAGCGUUGCUCCAGCAAGUAUAAACUUCCAUUCUGGAGCAUUUACAUGGAGGAGUAAAUUCAGAUCUACAGAGGAAUAUGCCUUAUUCUUACUGAUAUAUCAGUGUACAUAUUCGCAAAUCGUAUUUCGAAAAUUAUUUUUCAAAUUAUUUAAGGUAUUAUAACGUCCAUUUCUAGGAUAAGAAAUAGACUUCAAGUACAAAAUGUUUUUGGAAAGCGAUUUGUGUGUCUUUUGGUCGGCAAAGGUGUCAUCAAUGUGAUACUUAUAUGAACUUUUUAAUUACUUUAAAGCCACACAAGCAAAUUAGCAAAAUAUAUUAUUCGUGCAUUUCAUAUAAGACGUCAGUUGCUGUAUAAUCCAUAACAUUUAAAUUAUUUAUAUGUUUAAUCUAAAUAUUUGAACAUUUAUUUUGAUUUUGAAUUAAUUGAGAAAUAAUAUAUUUUAAAAGUAGUAAUGACGUUACGCACAAUACUUGUGUCACUUGACGUUACAGUUGAAACGUCAAUAUUGCGCGAAGAGGACGACGUUAUUUUGAUUUAUAAUACGAGCAACGCUAAAACUAUAAUAUGAAAAACUGAAAUAUAAAAUAACUCCUAUAUAUAUGACUAUUUUAAUUCAUUUAUACACUGUAAAAUGCUGAGAUGAAUGUCCUCAUGUAAUUGAAUAUUUCUUGUGGCGUCAAUUUUGGAACAUAUAUAAACUAUCGAUUCUGCUGGAACGAUUGCCUUUUUUUUCGAUACAAGUUUAUAAGAUAGUGGUGAUGAUGUCUUAUUGUCAUAAUACAAUCCACUGAUAACAUUUGUCCCAGUUGGCAAUAUGGAGCCCCAUGAAUCUGUUGUGUCGACACCAAGAACGUGAGGACAAUCCAUAACUUUUAUUAGGUAGUAAUCA